GCCCUCCACCACUCAGCCCGGCUUGAAAACCCCACCUGCUCACUUCUCCACCCAAACCCAAUCCAAAAUCUUUCCCUCCCUCCCAUCCUUUCUUCCCCUCCGCCUCCGCCUCCGCCUCUGCGGCCGCCGGUGACGCGCCAGGCGCUAGCUAGCCAUGUCGUGCUCCCACCUCUCCACCGCGUGGUCCUCCUCCGCGCUUGCCAGCACCUCCACACGCCGCCGCGCCUCCACCGGCAGCAGCAGCCUGGUGGUGCGGUGCUCCCUCCGGGACCUCCGCAACCGCAUCGACUCUGUCCGCAACACGCAGAAGAUCACGGAGGCGAUGAAGCUGGUGGCCGCUGCCAAGGUCCGUCGCGCGCAGGAGGCCGUGGUCUCCUCUCGCCCCUUCUCGGAGGCUCUGGUGGAGGUGCUCUACAACAUGAACCAGGAGAUCCAGUCGGAGGACAUCGACCUGCCCCUCACCCGCCAGCGCGCCGUCAAGCGCGUCGCGAUCGUCGUCCUCACCGGCGAGCGUGGUC
This 518-nucleotide long non-coding RNA is filed under the name Triticum aestivum (bread wheat). RNAcentral describes it as "long non-coding RNA (TAES_LNC022483)". The record is from RNAcentral. Lineage: Eukaryota; Viridiplantae; Streptophyta; Magnoliopsida; Poales; Poaceae.